This 566-nucleotide ribosomal RNA is filed under the name Ogataea zsoltii. Its description in RNAcentral is "eukaryotic LSU rRNA". It matches the Rfam family "Eukaryotic large subunit ribosomal RNA", at positions 62 to 648 of the family's 3401-position model. Lineage: Eukaryota; Fungi; Ascomycota; Pichiomycetes; Pichiales; Pichiaceae. The record is from RNAcentral.
AAACCAACAGGGAUUGCCUUAGUAGCGGCGAGUGAAGCGGCAAGAGCUCAAAUUUGAAAUCUGGUACCUUCGGUGCCCGAGUUGUAAUUUGAAGAAAGCUGUCUUGAAUUUGGCCUUUGUCUAUGUUCCUUGGAACAGGACGUCACAGAGGGUGAGAAUCCCGUGCGAUGAGGUGUCCAUUUUCAUAUAAGACGUUUUCGAAGAGUCGAGUUGUUUGGGAAUGCAGCUCUAAGUGGGUGGUAAAUUCCAUCUAAAGCUAAAUAUUGGCGAGAGACCGAUAGCGAACAAGUACUGUGAAGGAAAGAUGAAAAGAACUUUGAAAAGAGAGUGAAAAAGUACGUGAAAUUGUUGAAAGGGAAGGGUAUUCGAUCAGACUUGGUAUUUAGUUAUCAUUGCUCCUUGUGGGUGGUGCUCUAACUUUUUACUGGGCCAGCAUCAGUUUUGGUGGCAAGAUAAUGGCAGUUGAAUGUGGCUCCUCGGAGUGUUAUAGCUUCUGCUGAUAUUGCCUACUGGGACUGAGGUCUGCGGCUUUUGCCUAGGAUGCUGGCGUAAUGAUCGAAUACCGC